Molecule: ribosomal RNA, 465 nt
Filed under: uncultured bacterium
Lineage: Bacteria
Description: partial 16S ribosomal RNA
Rfam family: Bacterial small subunit ribosomal RNA
Source: RNAcentral
GACGAACGCUGGCGGCGUGCUUAACACAUGCAAGUCGAACGGAAAGGCCCUGCUUGCAGGGUACUCGAGUGGCGAACGGGUGAGUAACACGUGGGUGAUCUGCCCUGCACUUCGGGAUAAGCCUGGGAAACUGGGUCUAAUACCGGAUAGGAGCCAUUUUUAGUGUGAUGGUUGGAAAGUUUUUUCGGUGUAGGAUGAGCUCGCUGCCUAUCAGCUUGUUGGUGGGGUAAUGGCCUACCAAGGCGGCGACGGGUAGCCGGCCUGAGAGGGUGGACGGCCACAUUGGGACUGAGAUACGGCCCAGACUCCGACGGGAGGCAGAAGUGGGGAAUAUUGCACAAUGGGCGCAAGCCUGAUGAAGCGACGCCGCGUGGGGGAUGACGGCCUUCGGGUUGUAAAAUCCUUUCGCUAGGGACGAAGCUUUUUGUGACGGUACCUAGAUAAGAAGCACCGGCUAACUACGUG